RNAcentral lists this ribosomal RNA (253 nucleotides) under uncultured bacterium. Its description in RNAcentral is "partial 16S ribosomal RNA". It matches the Rfam family "Bacterial small subunit ribosomal RNA", at positions 524 to 777 of the family's 1533-position model. The record is from RNAcentral.
UACGAAGGGGGCUAGCGUUGCUCGGAAUCACUGGGCGUAAAGCGCACGUAGGCGGAUCGUUAAGUCAGGGGUGAAUCCUGGAGCUCAACUCCAGAACUGCCUUUGAUACUGGCGAUCUUGAGUUCGGGAGAGGUGAGUGGAACUGCGAGUGUAGAGGUGAAAUUCGUAGAUAUUCGCAAGAACACCAGUGGCGAAGGCGGCUCACUGGCCCGAUACUGACGCUGAGGUGCGAAAGCGUGGGGAGCAAACAGGG